GUCGAGGCUAGAGUCACACUUGGGUACUGGAGCUGCCUUGGUGUGCUCGAGUCCUUGAGGAUAACUGGUGACCUUAUUCACCGGCUGUGGGCCUCACAGCACAGUCAAGUCACCAGGUUAGUGACAUGG
Molecule: small nucleolar RNA, 129 nt
Organism: Nannospalax galili (Upper Galilee mountains blind mole rat)
Lineage: Eukaryota; Metazoa; Chordata; Mammalia; Rodentia; Spalacidae
Source: Ensembl